This 397-nucleotide ribosomal RNA is filed under the name uncultured bacterium. RNAcentral's name for it is "partial 16S ribosomal RNA". It matches the Rfam family "Bacterial small subunit ribosomal RNA", at positions 523 to 918 of the family's 1533-position model. The record is from RNAcentral.
AUACGUAGGGGGCGAGCGUUGUCCGGAAUGAUUGGGCGUAAAGGGCGCGUAGGCGGCCCGGUAAGUCUGGAGUGAAAGUCCUGUUUUUAAGAUGGGAAUUGCUUUGGAUACUGUCGGGCUUGAGUGCAGGAGAGGUAAGUGGAAUUCCCAGUGUAGCGGUGAAAUGCGUAGAGAUUGGGAGGAACACCAGUGGCGAAGGCGACUUACUGGACUGUAACUGACGCUGAGGCGCGAAAGUGUGGGGAGCAAACAGGAUUAGAGACCCGGGUAUUCCACACUGUAAACGAUGAAUGCUAGGUGUAGGGGGUAUCGACCCCUUCUGUGCCGCAGUCAACACAAUAAGCAUUCCGCCUGGGGAGUACGGCCGCAAGGUUGAAACUCAAAGGAAUUGGCGGGG